AGCUUGCUCCCUGAUGUUAGCGGCGGACGGGUGAGUAACACGUGGGUAACCUGCCUGUAAGACUGGGAUAACUCCGGGAAACCGGGGCUAAUACCGGAUGCUUGUUUGAACCGCAUGGUUCAGACAUGAAAGGUGGCUUCGGCUACCACUUACAGAUGGACCCGCGGCGCAUUAGCUAGUUGGUGAGGUAACGGCUCACCAAGGCGACGAUGCGUAGCCGACCUGAGAGGGUGAUCGGCCACACUGGGACUGAGA
Molecule: ribosomal RNA, 255 nt
Filed under: Bacillus sp. IG2
Lineage: Bacteria; Bacillati; Bacillota; Bacilli; Caryophanales; Bacillaceae
Also listed under: 1 other name
Description: partial 16S ribosomal RNA
Rfam family: Bacterial small subunit ribosomal RNA
Source: RNAcentral